UUGUCUAAGAGUGUUCGUAAUGCGUAAAAAAAAAAAAAAAAAAAAAAAAAAGUAAUUAGUUUCAAAUACGGACAAUUAGAGUUAAAAUAUCGAAAGGAGAAUGGCAUAUUAUCUUUCCGUUGUGUAUACUUCGGGGACCAACAAAAAAUCUCUUACAGUUUAUAAACAAGGACAGGAUUUUAUGGGAUUGAGAAACCGUACUUGACCGAUCGCAUAUCUGUCUGAAUCUAUUCUUUGGCCGAUCAUUUAUCAGGAAAGCUUUUAAUCUCGACUUUUCGAUCUGUGGAGUAGCCACGGAUGCUCCAAGCAUUUCUGAUAAAAGUUCAAACAGUAUUAUCUUCGAUAGAUAUACUAACGAAAUAACGGGAAACGUUGUUUACUUCCCUCCUCGACUGGCUUUUAUUUAGGCGAUAUCGAGAUAACAGGAAUUGUUUUAAACGCCAGAGAGGAGCGAUUUGGUAAGGUACUAACGAUAUUGAUCUCUUCCAACGCGAAUAUCUUAAAGUAGCAUCGUGCAUUUGGAGCGAGAGAGAUGGCCGAACUUGUUCGUAGUGACAGUUGCCAUAUUUUGUCGACUUAAUUGAAGCACAGCAUUCGGUUUCGGCCAAAAUGAGUCAGUGGUAAUUACGCCAACAACCAACUAAUACUUUAUUUGAUUAGUUCUGUGCCGGAGCAUUACGCUACUGCUUUCAUACACACCAGUUUUCCAUUUUAUGUACUGUUUACACUAGUGCAAAUAUUUAUUUUUAGUUCUUCGUUUCCAAACAUAAACAAGACGAAAAAGUAGCUAGCAAACAUUUCAAAAAUGAAUAAAACUUACUAGUUUAAAAGAUAACGGAAAAAGUUUGUUCCAACCUCUUAAUGCGCGUAAUUACGCACCAGAUCGAUUCUUUCGAAUGGGUGGAAUCGAGUUGCUAAAAUGUAUUUUCCUCUUUCCGAUCUCUUUCGCUCCAGGCAUUUAAUAUUAAAACACACGCCACACGAAUUCAGAGAAUUAAGCGGUAAUUCGCUGUUAGCAAUCGGAUCACGAAUUUAAUAUCUAUAAGUAGUAGUAGCCGCUGGUCAGAUUUCCUGCCAAAAGUUAAGAGCGUAUAUGUAUAAAGAUACAAACUUUCGAAAAUGAAAAUUAAUCGAAUCGAAUCAUUUGUUUUAUUGCGGAUUUUAAGUGACUUUUUGGAUAGCGCAGUUCGAGGUCAUCGAUCUUUUCACCCGAAACUAAACAAUGCUAGCAAACAGAAAGCAAGAAGAGAGAGAUACAGAAAAAGCUAUAAAUCAAUAUAUAUAUAUAUAUAUAUAUUUUUACACAUGACCCGAUGUAACCUAGAUUGAGAAGUACAGCGGACAUUUUUAAGAUUGAGCCCUGUGUGGGGUUAAUUGCUAGAAAGUUGGAGACUUAUUCCGGAUAUUUAAUACUAUCGAGUUACA
Molecule: long non-coding RNA, 1425 nt
Filed under: Androctonus crassicauda
Lineage: Eukaryota; Metazoa; Arthropoda; Arachnida; Scorpiones; Buthidae
Source: RNAcentral